AGUUUUGUUUUUGGUGACCUUAAUCAAUUGAGAGGUCAUGCAGAUGCAGCCAAGUCCGUGGAAUCUCGAAACGAAUGACGAGAUCGUUUUGUUCUUGUUCACCCUAACCAAUAAUAUUUUAAGACAUUUCAUGUGUUCAUGACAUGAAACGAUCACUGUACUACAGCCCUCUACUUGCUGACUUUUAACCAUUAACUCUCCACAGAGGGGUGCAACCUGUAGUCUUCCCAUUAGUUGAUUAGAGAAGCAGACCUCAAAGAUGACCAUUGUCUCAUUGCAAAGAUCCAGAAAUGCUCCAUUGAUUUGAUAUGAACAAGCAAGACCUGCUCAAUGAGAAACUUAAUUUGACAUUAAAUACAGGGGUCUGCUAAUGUUAAAUUACAGAAAAAUAAUGUUUGGACAAAUCCAAGAUAUCAAACCAAAAGAAAUUCUGUUGAAUUAAUGAUGGCCUUUGGAAAGGAAAUCAUGGGUCCAAGGCAGGUUUAGGAGCAACAAUGAGAUUGACCUUCCAAUGGAUCAGGUCACAGUAGAAACAGUAGCUCUGGCUGUAGAAUUACGUGCCACAAAUGACUCAACAAUCGGGUUCACAAGAUGAGGAGCUUCGUCCUGUGGGCAGUGGCCAACAUUAGGGAGGACAACAAAGUCCUCAACAGGAUCAAAAUUGGCAUAGUUCCUGCCAAGCUCAAUUGGUUCCCAAGGAUCCUUGUCACCCCAUGCUAUCAAAACAGGGCACUUCACCUGGGGCAGUAGUUCCUCAGGAAGAGGGCCUUCCGAGUAACAAAUGAAAUCAAGAAAUACGUCCACAGCACCAGGCUCAAGUCCUGGAAGAAGGAUUUUCUGAACAAGUUCCUGUGUCACCUGGGCAGUGUCAUGAUAACACUGGCACAGAAUGCUCCUCACGGACUCUGAUGUGGCAACUGAUUUGUAAAAAAGUUUGCCCAAAGCAGUAUUCCUGCAUAAUAGCUUGAUAUUCUUAAAUUAAAUAGUCGCAUAAGACUGCAAAUUAAAGAAAGAAAGUAUCUCAGUUUUGCCUCAGCAAACUCUGGAAUGAUCUGAUAAGUGGUCUUCCAAACUGUGGCUGCUUUUUAAUAUGAAGCAUACGCAAAGAUAUAUUUAACAGGACAAUGCCUCGACAGAUCUGUGGCUCCAUAACUGCUGCCUGAAGACCAACAAGUCCUACACCAGAGCGUUAUAAAUGGCAGAAGUGAUUUAUUAUGAUCACUUUGAAUUCCACAACUAUUUGAGAAUGUAACAUCUUUAGCACUUCAAGGCCUUCUUUUAUAGUUAAUAAUAUAAAAAGUUGAUAGUGUGCUGAUGCAUUAACUCGUAGCAACCACAUAAUUUCAAAGAAUCUCCCAGCAAACUCAUCCAAAAUUCGUACUCUAGCAUUUAUCCUACAACAAUCAAUCCACAUCAACAUUAUCUGCAUCUUAAGAUAACACAACUGCUAUUUUUUUUCUCUAAAGUAGGAUAUACACCUCUCUUACAACUGCUGAGAAAUUGCGUCAGGAAAAGACAGCCAACCAAGCUUUCCAAACUUGAGGAAUUUUUACUUUUAUAUCAACUCAUCCAAGGAAAAAGAGAAGAAUUAGACACAAGAGCCUACCAGGAUCAACUUGGAUGGAUACAUGGAAAACACAUUGACACCUCCAAUUGAAUUGCAUAUAAAGAAUGCUUUGUCUUUAAUUACAUCAGCACAAAAGUCAUUUAGCUGGGUGGCCCACGUCUCAAAUGUAUAGAAGGAGUUAUCUCCAAAUUCACGAGGAUUAGGUUUAUCUGAGUAUCCAUAACCAAUAAGAUCAAUUGAAUAUACUCUAUGAGAUUUUGCAAGAACAGGAAUGUUUUUCCUCCAAUGGUCGCUAUGGCAAUUACUUGUCUGCUAAUAAUAAGCAAAAUAUCAGUGAUGUAGACCUGUUUGCUCCAAAUCCAUGAACUAAAACGAGAGCAGGGCCACUGUUCCCAGAAUACUGAUAGCGGAUUGAAUAACCCUUCCAGGUCCAUAUACUGCUUUGAACUUCAGGCAUUUUGGCUGUGUCGCUUGAUGCACUUUUCUCUACUCCAACUUGAUUAUCAACUGAAUCACUUGAAAAGGAAUAUGCGCGAAAACCAUUUGAUUUAAAGCCAGAAAGUUUAGAAAUUUCGCGAGAAAUUGAUAAACCAUGGAGGUGGAUUUUGCUAAGAAGGAUUGGUGAUGGUAUUAUAUUCCGCCCAUUUCUCCUUUGGGGGAAUAGACAUGAAAAUUCAGGCUUUGUUACGGAGAGUAUAGCUGUGCUGGUACUUGACAUUGCCAGAGCAGAGAGAAAGCUUACAGAGAGAGUGAGAGAAGCUUCAAUGGAGCGUUAUGUUAUGCCCGCUCUUCGACCACGUAGCCAAGACAAGCUCGAGAGUCCGUUCAUCUUGCGUGGAUGAUAAUACACCACCUUACAGACCCUUACAACUUGCAAGCCUCGGAGUGGAACCCAUCUUUUUGGAC
RNAcentral lists this unclassified non-coding RNA (2473 nucleotides) under Hevea brasiliensis (rubber tree). Lineage: Eukaryota; Viridiplantae; Streptophyta; Magnoliopsida; Malpighiales; Euphorbiaceae. The record is from RNAcentral.